RNAcentral lists this long non-coding RNA (508 nucleotides) under Bos taurus (domestic cattle). RNAcentral's name for it is "long non-coding RNA NONBTAT006985". Lineage: Eukaryota; Metazoa; Chordata; Mammalia; Artiodactyla; Bovidae. The record is from RNAcentral.
UGGUCCUGCUUGGAGCAGCAGAGAGAACAAGUUCUCCCAGUGGGAACCUGGUUUCAGAGAGAGAAAGUGGGAGAAAAAGAGGCCAGGCUAUGUGAGUCAGUGAUCAGAAAACCCUUCAGGAAUGCUGAGUGAGGCAAAUCUUAGCUGUCAAGAGGAGUUGGGGAUGGGCAGUCUCUGUUUUGUCAAAGGGCUCUGAACAAAGUCAUUCUCCCUUUUCUUUUCAUAAUCAAUGGAUCCUUGCAUAGUAUAAUAUGCCUUAUUCUUUUAUUUUUAUUGGAAUAUAUGUUUUUACCAUGUUAAACUCAUUUGUUUCAGAAACAUUUGUGAAGCGUCUGCUGUGUGCUUUGGGGUUGAAUGAAAGACUAGCAAACAUAUUAGAAGAUAUGUUUUCUUGUGUGUUUGCAGGAAUUCAAAAUAUGUGAAAUUGGAAAAGAUGAUAACAUAAGUAGACUUAUUUAAUGUAAAUUUGAUUAAUCUUUAAAUGUUAAUAAAAAUGGUGAAAGCUGCC